Molecule: ribosomal RNA, 630 nt
Filed under: Iberobaenia minuta
Lineage: Eukaryota; Metazoa; Arthropoda; Insecta; Coleoptera; Iberobaeniidae
Description: eukaryotic LSU rRNA
Rfam family: Eukaryotic large subunit ribosomal RNA
Source: RNAcentral
GGAGUCUAGCAUGCGCGCGAGUCAUUGGGACUAAGCGAAACCUAAAGGCGCAAUGAAAGUGAAGGCCCGCCUCGCGCGGGCCGAGGGAGGAUGGGCCGCGUCCACGCGCGCGGCCCCGCACUCCCGGGGCGUCUCGUUCUCAUCGCGAGAUGAGGCGCACCCAGAGCGUGCACGCUGGGACCCGAAAGAUGGUGAACUAUGCCUGGUCAGGACGAAGUCAGGGGAAACCCUGAUGGAGGUCCGUAGCGAUUCUGACGUGCAAAUCGAUCGUCGGAACUGGGUAUAGGGGCGAAAGACUAAUCGAACCAUCUAGUAGCUGGUUCCCUCCGAAGUUUCCCUCAGGAUAGCUGGCGCUCGCUUUUGCGAGUCUCAUCCGGUAAAGCGAAUGAUUAGAGGCAUUGGGGUCGAAACGGCCUCAACCUAUUCUCAAACUUUAAAUGGGUGAGAUCUCCGGCUUGCUCGAACGAUGAAGCCGCGAGAUCGGAUCAGAGUGCCAAGUGGGCCACUUUUGGUAAGCAGAACUGGCGCUGUGGGAUGAACCAAACGCAGAGUUAAAGCGCCUAAAUCGACGCUUAUGGGAUACCAUGAAAGGCGUUGGUAACUUAAGACAGCAGGACGGUGGCCAUGGAA